CGCCAGACUCCUACGGGAGGCAGCAGUGGGGGAUAUUGCACAAUGGGGGAAACCCUGAUGCAGCGACGCCGCGUGGGUGAAGAAGCGCCUCGGCGCGUAAAGCCCUGUCAGCAGGGAAGAAAAUGACGGUACCUGAAGAAGAAGCCCCGGCUAACUACGUGCCAGCAGCCGCGGUAAUACGUAGGGGGCAAGCGUUAUCCGGAUUUACUGGGUGUAAAGAGGGCGCAGACGGCGAUGCAAGCCAGGAGUGAAAGCCCGCGGCCCAACCGCGGGACUGCAUUGGGAACUGGCGCGCUGGAGUGCCGGAGGGGUGGGCGGAAUUCCUAGUGUAGCGGUGAAAUGCGUAGAUAUUAGGAGGAACACCAGUGGCGAAGGCGGCCUACUGGACGGUGACUGACGCUGAGGCUCGAAAGCGUGGGGAGCAAACAGGAUUAGAUACCCGAGUA
Molecule: ribosomal RNA, 446 nt
Filed under: uncultured bacterium
Lineage: Bacteria
Description: bacterial SSU rRNA
Rfam family: Bacterial small subunit ribosomal RNA
Source: RNAcentral